CCCUGCCUUUUGUACACACCGCCCGUCGCACCUACCGAUUGAAUGGUCCGGUGAAGCCUCCGGAUUGGAAGGUCUGGCCCUGCCAGCCGGCCGAGAAGUUGGCUAAAUCUUACCAUUUAGAGGAAGGUGAAGUCGUAACAAGGUUUCCGU
Molecule: ribosomal RNA, 150 nt
Filed under: uncultured eukaryote
Lineage: Eukaryota
Description: partial small subunit ribosomal RNA
Rfam family: Eukaryotic small subunit ribosomal RNA
Source: RNAcentral